Molecule: ribosomal RNA, 434 nt
Filed under: Copelatus sp. MB 754
Lineage: Eukaryota; Metazoa; Arthropoda; Insecta; Coleoptera; Dytiscidae
Description: partial 16S ribosomal RNA
Source: RNAcentral
CCUGCCCGCUGAUUAAUUGAAUGGCCGCAGUAAUUUGACUGUGCAAAGGUAGCAUAAUCAUUAGUUUUUUAAUUAAAAGCUUGUAUGAAGGGUUGGACGAGGUAAAAUCUGUCUUUAUUUAAUUUAAAUUAGAAUUUAAUUUUUAAGUUAAAAAGCUUAAAUUUUUGUAAAAGACGAGAAGACCCUAUAGAUCUUUAUAUUAUUUUAAAUAAUUUUAUUAAGGAAUAUUAUAUUUUUUAUUUAUUGUAUUAUUUUAUUGGGGUAAUAAAAAGAUUAGAUGAAUUCUUUUUUAUAUUUAAUAUUAAUUAAUAGAUUUAUGAUCCAAUAUUUUUGAUUAUAAGAUUAAGUUACCUUAGGGAUAACAGCGUAAUUUUUUUAGAGAGUUCUUAUCGAUAAAAAAGUUUGCGACCUCGAUGUUGGAUUAAAAAUUAUUC